AUUGAACGCUGGCGGCAGGCCUAACACAUGCAAGUCGAGCGGAGCGGCGGACGGGUGAGUAAUGCCUAGGAAUCUGCCUGGUAGCGGGGGAUCACGUCCGGAAAUGGGCGCUAAUACCGCAUACUCUCAGAUGAGCUUAGGUCGGAUUGGCUAGUAGGUGGGGUAACGGCUAACCUAGGCGACGAUCACUAGCUGGUCUGAGAGGAUGACCAGCCACACGGGAACUGAGACACGGUCCAGACUCCUACGGUAGGCAGCAAUGGGGAAUAUUGCACAAUGGGCGCAAGCCUGAUGCAGCCAUGCCGCGUGUGUGAAGAAGGCCUUCGGGUUGUAAAGCACUUUCAGCGGGGAGGCGUUACCGGCAGAAGAAGCACCGGCUAACUCCGUGCCAGCCGCCGCGGUAAUAC
RNAcentral lists this ribosomal RNA (407 nucleotides) under uncultured bacterium. RNAcentral describes it as "partial 16S ribosomal RNA". It matches the Rfam family "Bacterial small subunit ribosomal RNA", at positions 30 to 526 of the family's 1533-position model. The record is from RNAcentral.